Non-coding RNA from Acanthosepion pharaonis, 85 nucleotides. The record is from the annotation of a GenBank genome assembly. NCBI's taxonomy places the organism in Eukaryota, Metazoa, Mollusca, Cephalopoda, Sepiida, Sepiidae.
GUUCUCGUCCGAUCACCGAAGUUAAGCAAAGUUGAGCCUGUUUAGUACCUAGAUGAGUAAGUGCUUGGGAAUACCAGGUGCUGUG